RNAcentral lists this ribosomal RNA (1477 nucleotides) under uncultured Bordetella sp. RNAcentral's name for it is "partial 16S-23S ribosomal RNA intergenic spacer". It matches the Rfam family "Bacterial small subunit ribosomal RNA". The record is from RNAcentral. Lineage: Bacteria; Pseudomonadati; Pseudomonadota; Betaproteobacteria; Burkholderiales; Alcaligenaceae.
GGUUCGAUUCUGGCUCAGAUUGAACGCUGGCGGGAUGCUUUACACAUGCAAGUCGAACGGCAGCACGGACUUCGGUCUGGUGGCGAGUGGCGAACCGGGUGGUAAUGUAUCGGAACGUGCCUAGUAGCGGGGGAUAACUACGCGAAAGCGUAGCUAAUACCACAUACGCGCCCUUCAGGGAAAGCGGGGGACCUUCGGGCCUCGCACUAUUAGAGCGGCCAUUAUCGGUUAAGCUGGUUGGUGAAUGGCGCAAACACCCGGGCGACCGAUCCGUGGCAACGGACUGAGAGGACGACCAGCCACACUGGGACUGGGAGCAGCCCGGGCCUCCUACGGGAGAGCAGCGGUGGGAAUUUUUGGACAAUGGGGAAACCUGAUCCAGCCAUCCCGUGUGCGAUGAAGGCCUUCCGGGUUGUAAAGCACUUUUGGCAGGAAAAGCGGCACGGGAUAAUACCCCGAUGCAGCGGCAAUACCUGCAGAAUAGCACGGCUAACUACGAUAACCCAGCAACCGCAGUAAUACGUAGGGUGCAAGCGUUAAUCGGAAUUACUGGGCGUAAAGCGUGCGCGGGCGGUUCGGAAAGAAAGAUGUGAAAUCAGAGAGCUUAACCUGGAACUGCAUUUUUUAACUAUACAUUAAAUUGUCAGAGGGAGGUGAAUUCCGCGUGUAGCAGUGAAAUGCGUAGAUAUGCGGAGGAACACCGAUAGCGAGAGCAGCCUCCUGGGAUAACACUGACGCUCAUGCACGAAAGCGUGGGAGCAAACAGGAUUAGAUGCCCUGGUGAUCCACGCCCUAAACGAUAAUCCUUGCUGUUGGGGCCUUCGGAGCAUGGUAUACAGCCUAACGCGUGAAGUUGACCGCCUGGGGAAGUACGGUCGCAGAUGCAAAACUCAAAGGAAUUGACGGGGACCCGCACAAGCAGUGGAUGAUGUGGAUUAAUUCGAUGCAACGCGAAAAACCUUGCCUACCCUUGACAUGUCUACUGGAAUCCGAAGAGAUUUAGGGUAAACAAGAGAACCGGAACACAGGUGCUGCAUGGCUGUCGUCAGCUCGUGUCGUGAGAUGUUGAGUUAGAGAUCCGCAACGAGCGCAACCCUUGUCAUUAGUUGCUACGAAGGGCACUCUAAUGAGACUGCCGGUGACAAACCGGAGGAAGGUGGGGAUGACGUCAAGUCCUCAUGGCCCUUAUGGGUAGGGCUUCACACGUCAUACAGUGGUCAGGACAGAGGGGUCGCCAACCCGCGAGGGAACAAUCCCGAAGCCCGAUCGUAGUCCGGAUCCGCAGUCUGCAACUCGACUGCGUGAAGUCGGAAUCGCUAAGUAAUCGCGGAUCAGCAUGUCGCGGUGAAUACAGUUCGGGUCUUGUACACACUUCCGUCACACCAUGGGAGUGGGUUUACCAGAAGUAGUUAGCCUAACCGUAAGGAGGGGCGAUUACGGUAAGGAUUCAUGACUGGGGUGAAGUCAACAAAGGUAA